CUUUCUCCUAGUAGAAUACACCUACCAAUAUUUUCCAUUGUUGGGUUAGUGUUACUUUCUACUAUUGCAUGUUCAGCUGCAAAUUCAGCUCACAACACUUUUCUUCAUUGCCUUGUAAACCAUUCAGAGCCCUCUCAUCCCAUAACCUCAGCGAUUUUCACGCCAAACAACGCUUCAUUCUCCUCAGUCUUGGAAGCUUACGUCAGAAACCUUCGUUUCAACACCUCCACAACCCGUAAGCCGUUCCUUAUAGUAACUGCAUUGCAUGUGUCCCAUAUACAGGCAUCCAUUAUCUGUGCUCAGAAGUAUAACUUGCAAAUGAAAAUUCGAAGUGGAGGCCAUGACUACGAUGGUUUGUCCUACGUGGCUGAGGUCCCAUUCUUUAUCCUUGACAUGUUCAAACUCCGAACCAUUGAAGUUGACAUACACACUGAGACCGCUUGGGUACAAGCUGGUGCAACGGUUGGUGAAGUUUUUUACAAAAUUGCUAAUAAGAGUAAAAUUCAUGCUUUCCCAGCAGGGAUUUGUCCCACUGUUGGGAUAGGAGGCCACCUAAGUGGCGGCAGUUAUGGCAAUUUGAUGAGAAAAUACGGUCUCUCAGUGGACAAUAUUGUUGAUGCACAAAUGGUUGAUGUUCAAGGUAGAUUGCUUGAUAGAAAAUCCAUGGGUGAAGAUCUCUUUUGGGCCAUCACAGGUGGUGGAGGAUCUAGCUUUGGUGUGGUCCUUGCCUACAAAAUAAAGCUAGUUCGAGUUCCUGAAACAGUCACUGUUUUCAACGUUCAGAGGACCUUGGAGCAAAACGCCACCGAUAUAGUUUAUAAAUGGCAGCAUGUUGCACCAACUAUCGACAACGACCUUUUCAUUAGACUUGUCUUGGACGUUGUAAACGGUACAAAAACUGGAACAAAGACUGUAAGAGCUUCUUUCGUAGCUCUAUUCCUUGGCGACUCCAAAAGCCUUGUUUCUCUCUUGAAUGAGAAGUUCCCUCAAUUAGGUUUGAAGCAAUCUGACUGCAUCGAAACAAGUUGGCUUCGUUCAGUGCUGUUUUGGACAAACAUCAACAUUACAGCACCUCUUGAGAUUUUGCUUGAUAGACAACCACAAUCACCCGUGAACUUCUUGAAAAGAAAAUCUGAUUAUGUACAAAAACCAAUUUCCAAAGACGGUUUUGAAGGAAUUUGGAAGAAGAUGAUUGAGUUGGAGGAUACACUGUUUCAAUUCAAUCCUUAUGGUGGAAGAAUGGCUGAGAUUCCAUCAACAGCAACUCCUUUCCCUCAUCGAGCAGGGAACCUAUGGAAGCUUCAAUACCAAGCCAAUUGGAGGCAAGCAGGGAAAGAAGUAACAAAUCACUACAUAAACUUGACAAGAAAACUUCACAAGUACAUGACUCCUUUUGUCUCCAAGAACCCAAGAGAGGCUUUCUACAAUUAUAAGGACCUUGACUUGGGAAUUAAUCACAAUGGCAAGAAAAGCUAUGCUGAAGGAAAAGUUUACGGAGUGGAGUAUUUCAAGGAUAACUUCGACAGGUUGGUUGAAAUAAAGACCAAGGUUGAUCCUCAUAAUUUCUUUAGAAACGAACAAAGCAUCCCUACUCUGCCAUAUGCAAAGAGUUAGGAUAAUAGCGACUCAAAUGUUAUUAAUUUCUGUAGUUUUGGUCAUUAGUUUAUUGCGUACUAUAUUGGAUCAUGGAAAUAAGUGAUGUUUAAUAAACUAUUUGUUUGGUUUGGUAUUAAAUUAUGAAAUAAAUCGUGUUUUAAUCAUGUAGCUCUUGUGUGUUAUUUAAAUAGUUACAUAAGAGAUGCAGUUUUGAUAGAAAUCUUUUUCUGAUCAGCUAAAAAUAUAUAAUAAAUUUUAGUCAUUAUUAAAAAAAUUAUAAUAAAUAAAUAUAUCACGUAGCAAGUCAUUUCUUUAUUAAUACACAAUGCAUGCAAAUAUAUAUAUAUAUAUAUAUAUAUAUAUAUAUAUUUUGUUUACGUAUAACCAAAAAUUGUACGUAAAAGUGAAACUGACAUCUAUGAUAGGCUUAUUUCUGAAAGUUCACUGCAGGAGGAGUUUGAAUCUUUAAUGAUCAGUAAAAAUAAAAACAUUAAGGAAACUGAAUAGUAAUUGUAUUCUAAAAUUUUGACGUGUUUGAUAUCACAAGAGAUAUUUGCAAUCAGAAUACGUUAUUUUUUAAACAACCUAGGUAGAAAAUAAUUUUUUAAAGUGAUACUAGUGGUUUGAUUUAUUAUGAAAAUAUCUUAUAAUUACAAAAAAAUUAUAUAAAGUUAGACAAGAUAUCAAAUAUAUAUUUUUAUAGUUAAACUAAUCUAAAAGUUCUCUUAACUAGUUCUCAAUAAUUAGUGUUCUCGUCAAUAAAUUUUGGUUUGAUUUUAUAGGUGGAUUUCGAGUUAAUCUUUCAACACUACUGUUUUGAGAUGCUUGAAGAUCAUAAUGAAAAGAGUUUACCUGUUAAUAAAAUUCUGACGAUCAUGUCAAUAAAAACAUUAAAAAAUAUGAGUGUAGUGUGUAUUGUAUGAAAUAAUGUUUACCUUUUGUUCGGAGUCUUAAAAUUCUUUUAACACUCGAAGAUCCUUAUUCAAAAGUUAGUAACUACAUAAUAAUUUGUUAAUAUACCCUUUUAUUUUAGGGAUGUUGAUAUACCAAGUAUCUAUCUACAUUUGUUGAUGACUUAUUAGUGUCAUUCCUUUUGAAAAGACAAAAAAAUACGUAAAUAUAAUUAUAUAUAUAUAUAAAUAUAAUUAUAUAUAUAUAUAUAUAUAUAUAUAUAUAUAUAUAUAUAUAUAUAUAUAUAUNNNNNNNNNNNNNNNNNNNNNNNNNNNNNNNNNNNNNNNNNNNNNNNNNNNNNNNNNNNNNNNNNNNNNNNNNNNNNNNNNNNNNNNNNNNNNNNNNNNNAUAUAUAUAUAUAUAUAUAUGAGUGUGUAUAUUAUAUGCGGCUAAAAACAUCUCGACACACGAAAGUGAUCAUAACAUACAAGUACAAAGAAGUAGAAGCUAGAUCAGCAAUUUUAGAAUAAAUUUCAAAACCUUGCCAUACACAUACCGAAAUUAAGCUACAUAUAAUUAAGAAUAUCACUAAUCCUCAAUCAAGCACACUAAGUUGCUCUUACUAUUAGAGUAAUAUAAGAUUAUCGAUGAAGGUUCAUCUAUGCACAAGCUCAAUUUAAUUAAAUUCUAUAAAUAAAUUAUCAUGUGAUUGGUGGUAAACAUUAAAUUUACUAGCAUUUAUUAAUAAAUACACUCAACUAAUUUGAAUGUUGAAGUAUCUUUUUACAAGUACAGUAUCAAAACAUAGGUAUUACCGACAUUCAAAAUUAGUCGAUAAUGUCAAAAUUUUGUCAUUAAAUAAAAACUAUUGACAAAAAUAAAUUUGUCGAUAACUAAUAAUAUUAUUAUUAAUAAUUUAAAAAAUAUUAUUUAUUAUUAAAAUUAUUAUUAUUAGAAUUUACGGUUAUUGUUUACUAUUAUUUUAUUAUAUGUUAUUAAUUAUAUAAUGUUAUUAAAUAUAAUAUUACCAAUUGAUGCGGAGGAAUUUGAACCAAGUUCACUGACUACAUGUGACUGUAAGCAUUAGACCAAAAUUACUUACUUACCAUAUUAUGUUUUUUUAUUCUUAUUAUCAUAUUAGUAUUAUAAUUAUUAUAACUAUUAUUAUCAUUGUUAUUAAUAUUACUAAUAUUAAUAAAAUUAAAAUAUUAUUAAUACAAAUAUUAUCAAUAUUAUUUUUAUUAAUAAUAUCAUUAUUAUUAAUAAUAUUCUUAUUAUUAAUAAUAUUUUUAUUAUUUAUAGUAUUUAAUUAUUAUUAAUAUUAUUAUUAUUAUUAAGAUUAUUAUUAAUAAUAUUAUUGUAAUAUUAUUUUUAAUAUUAAUAUUAUUAUAGUUAUUAUAUUUAUUAUUAGUUUUAUUAAUAUUAUAUCAUAAUUAUUAAUAUUAGUACUACUUUUAAUAAUAUUAUUCAUAUUAUCAGUAUAAUUAUUAAUAUAUGAUUAUUAAUAUUAACUUUAUUCUAAGUCUUAAUUUUAUUAAAAAUAUUAAUAUUAUUGUAAUUAUUAAUUUUAUAUUAAUAUAAAUAUAAAUAUAAAUAUUAUUGUAAUUACUAUUAUUACUAUUAUUAUUAUUAAUCUUAUUAAUAUAAAUAUAAUUAUUAUUAUUAUUGUAGAAUUUACUGACGAUUUAUAUCCGCAUCUAAUUAUCGACAAAUUUUAUUGGAUAUUGAUUCGUUUCAAAUUACUUUUUUAAUCUUAAGAUUUGUAAAUCAAAUUUACUGGUAAUUACCAAUGGACAUAAUUCCGUCAAUAAAUUUUUUUAAUAAUUAGUUUUGUCAGUAAUAAAAAACAUAAACCCGUAAAUUUGAUAAAUUUGUUGUUAAUAAUUAGAAUUUUUUUAUAGUAUAUCUUCUGUGACCAGAGACAAGUAAAUACUAUCUUUCAAACGACGAAAUUAGUAUAACAAUAAAUAAAUAAAAAACGUACUCAAACAUUCAAAAACAAUAUAUAUUAUUAAAUAUAUUAUUUUGUGGUUUACAUAUUAAAAAAAUUGUUUUCCAAACUAAUUUUUUCUAUAUUUUAAAACUAGUUUAUAUAUUUGAUUAAUUUACUGUAUUAGUGUUUAGUCAAAUGUCAUGAACUCCAUAGUCACUAAAUAUUAAGUUGCAUGAUGCCUCCAUCACAAACGUGUGACAUCUAACUACUGAUAAAUUAAUAAACUACCUGAUUAUGACUUUGCAUAAAAAUAGUAUGUAUAUAUGAAUUAAUGUAUUUCCAAUACUCUCUAAUGCGAUUGAAUAUUUAAAACAACCUCAAAGAUGACUUAUAUAUGGAACUUCAAAAUUAAAUUCUUCAAACUUUAUUUACGCUCUUCAAGGAAUAGAUAAUAUCCUAUAAUCCAAUGAAUAAGUUAUUUGACAACGAAAAUUGAAGCAUGUUCAAGAAUUCCACAAGCUUCUUGAUAAUAUAAUUUGAAUAAAAAAUUAAAUUUGAUAGUGACAAAAACAAGUGGAGUCAAGUUUUUUUAUUUAAAGUGUGGAUUAUGUAUGUGAGGAUUAUAUGUCAUGGUUAACAUAGUCUUAUCCUUUUUAUACGGGUUGCGAUAUUUUUUAAAUAUCUUAUUUAAUUUAUUUAUUUAUUUUGUUAAUAAAAAUAAUGAUAGUUAAUAUGGAUUGACAUCUUUUAAAUUUAUUUAUUUAUUGAUAAAAAUAAUGAUAAUGACAUGUUAUCUGGUCUUUAAUUAGGCUAUUACUUUUUCCACAAUCUUUUUUGAAACAUAUUUUCUAAAGUUUUUUAAAUUAUAUUUUCAUCAAAAUAAUAAGUCUUUGUCCCUUUUAAAUUUAUAUGUGUAAAUUAUAUUAAAAGCUAUACAAUUUAAUAAUUUUUUAAUAAUAUUUUAUGUAUUAUUUUUAUUGAUAAAUAGGGUAUAUCCUAAACCCUAAACAACUUCCUCUUAAUUAAAAAUCCUGCGCUGGAUCCACAACUCAGUGAUGCAUUACAUCAAAGUCAUUUUGUUCAAGCAUGAAUUAAGUUCAAAAAUUCUUUGAAUCAAAAGUCGCGGAACUGAGCACUAAUUUCUCUCUUCUGUAUAAAUGUGUGAAUGUGUUUUGAUGUGAAAUAUUCAUGUUUUGUGUGGUACUUAUUUUCUUUCUGUAACUUAAAUAUUAAUGUAUUUUAAAUAUAAAAAGAUUUCUUGUUGGCUAGUGUGGAAAAUGGGACUAAGACUUGAUUAUUUUGAUGAAAAUAUAAUUUGAAAAAUUUAGAAAAUAUGUUUCGAUGAAAAGAUUGUGGAAAAAAUAAUAGCCUAAUUAAGGAUUAGAUAAGGUGUAACUAUCAUAUUUAAUUUUUGUAUUCAAAUCUAGGCCAUCUUCUCAUUUGUCUUUCACAAUUUCUUCCUCGAAAUGGUUCCAUUAUAAAAUCCAAUGUAGAUGAUGCUCAAUAGAAACACUAAAAACUCCUCUUCUAUCAAAAGAUAACAAAAAAUGGAAGUCCUUCCUCCUAUAUUUUUCAUUGUUGUGUUACUUUCUACAAUUUCAUGCUCAGCUUCAGCUGCAAAUUCAGCUCACAACAAUUUUCUUCAUUGUCUUGUAAGCCAUUCAGAGCCCUAUCAUCCCAUAACCUCAGCGAUUUUCACGUCAAACAACGCUUUAUUCUCCUCAGUCUUGAAUGAUUAUGUCAGAAACCUUCGUUUCAACACCUCCACAACCCGUAAGCCGUUCCUUAUAGUAACUGCAUUGCAUGUGUCCCAUAUACAGGCAUCCAUUAUCUGUGCUCAGAAGUAUAACUUGCAAAUGAAAAUUCGAAGUGGAGGCCAUGACUACGAUGGUUUGUCCUACGUGGCUGAGGUCCCAUUCUUUAUCCUUGACAUGUUCAAACUCCGAACCAUUGAAGUUGACAUACACACUGAGACCGCUUGGGUACAAGCUGGUGCAACGGUUGGUGAAGUUUUUUACAAAAUUGCUAAUAAGAGUAAAAUUCAUGCUUUCCCAGCAGGGAUUUGUCCCACUGUUGGGAUAGGAGGCCACCUAAGUGGCGGCAGUUAUGGCAAUUUGAUGAGAAAAUACGGUCUCUCAGUGGACAAUAUUGUUGAUGCACAAAUGGUUGAUGUUCAAGGUAGAUUGCUUGAUGAAAAAUCCAUGGGUGAAGAUCUCUUUUGGGCCAUCACAGGUGGUGGAGGAUCUAGCUUUGGUGUGGUCCUUGCCUACAAAAUAAAGCUAGUUCGAGUUCCUGAAACAGUCACUGUUUUCAGAGUUGAGAGGACCUUGGAGCAAAACGCCACCGAUAUAGUUUAUAAAUGGCAGCAUGUUGCACCAGCUAUCGACAACGACCUUUUCAUUAGACUUAUCUUGGACGUUGNNNNNNNNNNNNNNNNNNNNNNNNNNNNNNNNNNNNNNNNNNNNNNNNNNNNNNNNNNNNNNNNNNNNNNNNNNNNNNNNNNNNNNNNNNNNNNNNNNNNCAUAUUUGACAUGCUUGCGUGACAUUAAUUGACGUUGUAGACGUGAUAUUUGGUGAGGAUGUGACACUGAUUCUAUAUUAUAAUAUAUGACCUGUAGCACACGCAAAACUGGUUACUUGUGUGUUUGUAAGUAGUUACUUAUGUGACGUUUAUGUCUACCCACUCUUCAUGAAAAAGAAUCAUUUUUUUAAUAAGAACCAUAUAUUACAUCGGUUAGAUGACUUAAUCGCUGUAAUAACCCUACUAGAACUAUCCAGCCACAAGUUCCUCCACAUAUACUGGCUCACGCAAAACUGAUUACCCGUGUGUUUGUAAGUGGUUACCUAUGUGACAUUUAUGGUCACCCACUCUUCAUGAAAAAAAAAAUCAAUUUUUUUAAUAAAAACCUUAUAUUACAUCGGUUAGAUGACUUAACCGAUGUAAAAAUCAUAUAUUACAUCAGUUAGAUAACUUAACUGAUGUAAUAACCUUACCAGAGCUGGUUACCCAUCCCCUGACUCACGCAAAAUUGGUUAUCCGUGUGUCUAUAAAUGGUUACCUAUGUGACUUAUGACCCACCCACUCUUUAUGAAAAAAAAAAUCAAUGUUUUUUAAUAUGGAUCAUAACCAAUAAUAUGAGUCAUUCUGAGUAAAAAAAAUACAUUACACGGAUUGUUUCUAAGAACCGCUGUAAUAUAUUAUUUUUUACUCUAUUUUAAAGUUCGCGCUGCUCAUUCGUGUGCAAUCUCACUCUGUCACGUCAUUGUCAUGUCCACAGCGUCAAAUGUAUGUCAUGUGCAGACUAUGUCAAUAUAUCAGGACUCUAUUUAGAUAGUUAUAUAAUUGAGAUGUAGUUUUUGCUAAAAAUCUUGUUGAAAUAUUAAGAAAAUAUUGAGUUUAUUUAUUCAUGCUUAAGUUUAGAAGUUGAGACAAUGAAAAAUAAAGAAAGAAAUAAAACUGAUGUUACGUUAGACAAUAAUUGAAAUAGUAAUGACAUUAGUAGAAUGGUGGAUUUGAGGGAGGAAUUAACAAUGAUGGAAUUGGAAUUGGAGAAUAAGGUGCACGGCAGAGUGAUUGCCAAGUUUGAUGAUAGAAAGGCGUGGUUGGAUAAAGUAUGGACAUAAUAAUUUUAUAAGGAAAGAUCAAAUCAACAUACAUCUCCAACUAUACCAAUUAGUAUUCAAAAUUUAAAAUUACUUGUCAAUAAAUCUUAAAAAAACACAAAUAAUUUUUUUUAAGUUUAAGGAAAAUGAUAUAUUGACAUCCUGAUCAAUAUAUUGAAAUUUUUCGUCAUUAUUUAUUGAGGAAAAGAUGUUUAUUAUAAAAAAUAUCUUUAAUUUAAUUUAAUAUAUAUAUAUAUAUGAAUUUUAAAAUCUUUAUCUCAUACAAAUAAUUAAAAAAUAACUAUAAUCUAUUGUUACAUAAAAAAAUAUUAGUAAACGGCAUGCUUAUGAUUUUGUAUAAAACAAUAUGUAUAUAUGAAUUAAUGUAUUUCCAGUACUCUCUAAUGCGAUUUAAUAUUUAACACAACCUCAGAGAUGACUUAAAUAUAUGAAAUUUCAAAAUUCAAUUCAUCAAACUUUAUUUCUGUUCUGCAAGGAAUAAAUAAUAACCUAUAAUCCAAUAAAUAAGUUAUUUGAUGACAACGAAAAUUUAAGCAUGUUCAGAAAUUCCACAAGCUACUUGAUUUGAAUACAAAAAUUAAAUAUGAUAGUGACAAAAACAAGUAGAGUCAAGUUUUUUUAUUUAAAGUGUGGAUCAUGUAUGUGAGAAUUAUAUAUCAUUGGGUAACAUAAUUUUAUUUUAUUUUAUAUGGAUUGUGACAUUCUUUAAAUUUUUUAUUUAAUUUAUUUAUUUUUCGAUAAAAAGAAUAUAGUAACACAUUAUCUGAACCUUAAUUAGGUUAUUAUUAUUUUUACAGUCUUUUAAUUGAAACAUAUUUUUCUAAAGUUUUUCAAAUUAUAUUUUCAUCAAAAUAAUAAAGUCUCGGUCCCUUUUUCCACAAUAGCCAACCAGAAAAUAUUUUUUAUUUAAAAUAAAUUAAUAUUUAAGUUACAGAAAGAAAAUGAGCAAUUAAAAAUAUAGGAGAUGCCAAUUCCACACAAAAAUUAAUAUUUCACAUCAAAACACAUUCACACAUUUAUACUGAAGACGUGCCUUUUAAAACUUAGAAUAUUAUAAAACAUCAAGAUUUUACUAAUCAUUAACAAAAAAUGGAAAAAAUGUCACUAGAAAAUAUUAUAAUAAAAGUAAUAUCCAGUUUAAUAUUUUUAAUAUUAUGAAAAUAGUAUCAUGAUUCAAAAAAGUGAAAAAAAAAUCAAUAUUCCUUCAUGGUUUCUAUACUUGGCCACAUAUAAAAUAAAAUAAAGACAUGAAUAAUGAUCAAAUCAAUACUAAGAUUCAAAAAAUAUAUUUUUUGUGAGUAAUUCAAAUAAUUUUUUUAUCAACCAAAAAAAAUAUAAUAAUGAAAUACCUGGAAUAGUUGAACUCAUAUACAAUUAAAGUUUUACAAUAACUAAAGUAUCAUCAGAAUGACAAAAAUAUUUAAAAAAUAAUGGACUUUACAUAGGAAUACAUGUUCAUCAUAAAGAAAAUGAUCUCUAAUUAUUUUAUAAAAAAUAUUUAUGAAUUUUAAAAUAUUUAUCUCUCUUUAAAAUAAUUAAAAAAUAACUAUGUCAGAUAUUUAUUUUAUUUAAAACGCCAGUGGCGGAGCUUAAAAUCUAGUUUGUAGGGUUCAAAAUAAAUAAAUAAUUAUAUGUAAUUAAAAUUAAAAUUAAAAUUAAUUUGAAUGUUUUAUUUUGAAUAUUUAAUCAUAUUUUUUUAGAUAUUAGUUUUACUCUUGAAUAUUUUUUUAUAUUCAAUUUUUUCUUUACUUUAUUCAUGCCGUUAAUUACUUUCAUUUCAAGACUUGUAUAUAUAUUUAUUCAUUAUUAAAUAUAAAUUUAGAAAAAUUAGUUAUAACUAUUGUUGUGAAACAGUUGUUUAGGAAAUAAACAGAAGUAAAGUCCGAUAAGUAAAACUCAAAGUCAAGUUCAUUAAAGAAUGUUAAAAGAAGCUUUAAUUUGAUCUCAAAUUAUAAUUAUUAUUAAUAAAUAGUAUAAUUAUUAAUAUUAAUAUUUUUCAUAUAUUUAAUAUUAUUUAUAUUAUUAUUACUAUUCAAAUUAAUAAAAUUAUUAAUUAUUAUAAUAAUGUUAUUAAAUAUUAUUAAUAUUUUAUUAAAUAUCUUUCUUCAUUAUUAAACAUAAAUUUACAAAAAAUUGUUAUUACUAAUUUUAUGAAAAGUUAUUUGGGAAAUAAACAGAAGUAAAGUUUUCUAGAAAAUUAUUAUUAAUACUUUAUUAAAUAUUAUUAAUACUUUAUCAAAUAUUAUUAAUACUUUAUCAAAUAUUAUUAAUAGUUUAUCAAAUAUUACUAAUAUUUUAUCAAAUAUUACUAAUAUUUUAUUAAAUAUUACUAAUAUUAUUAAAUUAGUAUUACUAAAUAUUAUAAUAUUGUUAAAUAUUGUAAAUAUUAUAAAUAAUGUUAUAUUAUUAAUUUAGAUAUUUAUAGAUAAUAGAUAGUUGAUAGAUAAUAAAGAUCAGUAAAUAAUAGAGAUUUAUAAGUAAUAGUUUAUAGAUAAUGUUAGGUAAAGUUGAAUUUACGUAUAAACAUAUAUAAACUGUGGGUAAAAAUUCAUACUUAAUUUUUAAUAGAUUUCAAUUAUAAGGAUUGUGUUAGAAAUAUAUUAGAUAAUGUCCUGUAAACAUUUUUUAUAGUAAAAUAUGUAAGUAGUAUCAAACAAAAACAUAAAUAUUUUUAAUUGGAUAUAGAAAUAGAAAUAAAUUUUGUGUAGAAGGGCAAGACCCCCUUAAUUAGUCAAUACUAAGAUCUGUUCCUAUGGAAUUUAUUUUGAUGAAAACAAAGCUUUAAAUAAUGGAUUGUAAAAUAUUUGUAUGAUUUUUUUAAUUUAUAAUAUUAGGAUUUGUUGAAUUGUUGCAGUUGAUACUUCUCGAGAUAUAAAAUUCAGAGAGGUGCUGAUUGGUGAUGCUCUGAUAGUGGGCGCUGCAGCAGAUUUUCUGCUCUGCAAUUUGUCUGUUGCUUGCUGAUGACCUGCUAUCUUCUGCUGCUCUGCCACUACUCUCCAUUUUUGACAAUGAAUUAAUGUAAAAGUUAAAAUCAUAAAAAUAUAAUUGGAUGUCAAAAUUGUGACUUUUAUUACUCAAAAUAUGCAGUCAUUUUCAGGAUGCUUAUAAAUCCAAUACAAAUCAUCAUGCUCAAUGGACUCACCACAAAUCCUUUUCUUUGUUUAUCAAACAACAUUCGGAAAACCAGAAAUGGGAGUCAUUUCUCCUCACAGAAUACAACCAUCGAUGUUACUCAUCCUUGUGUUGCUUUCUAUAUUUACAUUUUCAGCUUCAGCUGCAACUUCAGCAGACAACACUUUUCUUCAUUGCCUUGUAAACCAUUCAGAGUCCUCUCACCCCAUAGCUUCAGCAGUUUUUACUGCAAACAACGACUCAUUCUCUUCAGUGUUGCAAGCCCAAAUAAAAAACCUUCGUCAACACCUCCACAACCCCGAAGCCAUUCCUUAUAGUAACUGCAUUGCAUGUAUCCCAUGUACAAGCAUCCAU
Molecule: long non-coding RNA, 11530 nt
Filed under: Phaseolus vulgaris (common bean)
Lineage: Eukaryota; Viridiplantae; Streptophyta; Magnoliopsida; Fabales; Fabaceae
Description: long non-coding RNA (PVUL_LNC002715)
Source: RNAcentral